This 468-nucleotide ribosomal RNA is filed under the name uncultured bacterium. RNAcentral describes it as "partial 16S ribosomal RNA". It matches the Rfam family "Bacterial small subunit ribosomal RNA", at positions 28 to 507 of the family's 1533-position model. The record is from RNAcentral.
GACGAACGCUGGCGGCGCGCCUAACACAUGCAAGUCGAACGGAGUCAAGAGGAGCUUGCUUUUCUUGACUUAGUGGCGAACGGGUGAGUAACGCGUGAGUAACCUGCCCUGGAGUGGGGGACAACAGUUGGAAACGACUGCUAAUACCGCAUAAGCCCACGGAUCCGCAUGGAUCUGCGGGAAAAGGAUUUAUUCGCUUCAGGAUGGACUCGCGUCCAAUUAGCUAGUUGGUGAGGUAACGGCCCACCAAGGCGACGAUUGGUAGCCGGACUGAGAGGUUGAACGGCCACAUUGGGACUGAGACACGGCCCAGACUCAUACGGGAGGCAGCAGUGGGGGAUAUUGCACAAUGGGGGAAACCCUGAUGCAGCGACGCCGCGUGGAGGAAGAAGGUUUUCGGAUUGUAAACUCCUGUCGUUAGGGACGAUAAUGACGGUACCUAACAAGAAAGCACCGGCUAACUACGUG